This 662-nucleotide long non-coding RNA is filed under the name Coturnix japonica (Japanese quail). RNAcentral describes it as "lncRNA (ENSCJPG00005020960.1)". The record is from RNAcentral. Lineage: Eukaryota; Metazoa; Chordata; Aves; Galliformes; Phasianidae.
CUUUGCAUUGUUGAGGUCUCUUAUGAUGCUCAUUUGGUCCUUGCAGGGCAAUCUUUUACUGGCAGAAACUCCAAGGAAGUCAAAGGCCACUGUGAGGAGACUAGGGUGGAUGAAGUUGCAGUAUAACAAUAUCAUGCUCAGAAUAAUGAUACCUCUUUGUGUUUCAAUAGAAAGCAGAGGUUUUCAAAGGGAGGCAACUACAAAGAACAAGUACAAUCUCACCCAGCAAAUAGGUGUAUUGAAGCACAAGGUGGCUUUGUUUCUGGAGUCAGAUACUUUAUUGCUAUGCAUCAGUAAAGUACUCUGUCCAUAUUUUGUCCUACAUGAGAGAUGCAAGAGAGAUCUCAUGGGCAAAACAACUCCUAUGUUCCUGUGAAAGAUGAAUGCUGCAGUAUAACAUAAGAAAUAUAUUUACAUUGUAACAAGAAAUAUUUGUUUCAUUACUUUACCUAUGUCCUGUAGAAGUCUAAUUUUCCAUUAGUGUAUGGAGCAGAUAAGCUUAUGUAUAUGAAGCUAUUUGUUAACACUGAACUAGUGGUCAAACUCUAAUACCUUAAAUCUUCUGUCCAGCCCCUCUGUCUACUCCAUAUCUGACACCUUUUACUUCUUGAAACUGUGCAGUUUCCUGACCACCUGCACCAGCUCUUUUUUUUUUUUUCCUU